This 373-nucleotide ribosomal RNA is filed under the name uncultured organism. RNAcentral's name for it is "bacterial SSU rRNA". It matches the Rfam family "Bacterial small subunit ribosomal RNA", at positions 526 to 896 of the family's 1533-position model. The record is from RNAcentral.
CGGGGGGGGCAAGCGUUGUUCGGAAUUACUGGGCGUAAAGGGCUCGUAGGCGGCCAACUAAGUCAAACGUGAAAUCCCUCGGCUUAACCGGGGAACUGCGCUUGAUACUGGAUGGCUUGAGAUUGGGAGAGGGAUGCGGAAUUCCAGGUGUAGCGGUGAAAUGCGUAGAUAUCUGGAGGAGCACCGGUGGCGAAGGCGGCAUCCUGGACCAACACUGACGCUGAGUGAGCGAAAGCCAGGGGAGCAAACGGGAUUAGAUACCCCGGUAGUCCUGGCCCUAAACGAUGAAUGCUUGGUGUGGCGGGUAUCGAUCCCUGCCGUGCCGAAGCUAACGCAUUAAGCAUUCCGCCUGGGGAGUACGGUCGCAAGGCUG